Molecule: ribosomal RNA, 467 nt
Filed under: uncultured bacterium
Lineage: Bacteria
Description: partial 16S ribosomal RNA
Rfam family: Bacterial small subunit ribosomal RNA
Source: RNAcentral
GACGAACGCUGGUGGCGUGCUUAACACAUGCAAGUCGAACGGAAAGGCCCUGCUUUUGUGGGGUGCUCGAGUGGCGAACGGGUGAGUAACACGUGAGUAACCUGCCCUUGACUUUGGGAUAACUUCAGGAAACUGGGGCUAAUACCGGAUAGGAGCUCCUGCUGCAUGGUGGGGGUUGGAAAGUUUCGGCGGUUGGGGAUGGACUCGCGGCUUAUCAGCUUGUUGGUGGGGUAGUGGCUUACCAAGGCUUUGACGGGUAGCCGGCCUGAGAGGGUGACCGGCCACAUUGGGACUGAGAUACGGCCCAGACUCCUACGGGAGGCAGCAGUGGGGAAUAUUGCACAAUGGGCGGAAGCCUGAUGCAGCAACGCCGCGUGCGGGAUGACGGCCUUCGGGUUGUAAACCGCUUUCGCCUGUGACGAAGCGUGAGUGACGGUAAUGGGUAAAGAAGCACCGGCUAACUACGU